UAUACCUUCUCUGUUAUCCUUCCAUAAGAAAGCACAAAAGUUGAGAGGAAUUGCAUCUGUACUGUAUUUUCUUUCCUGAGCCUCUUCUCUCUCCUCCUCAGGCCAGACAUUUGUGGGCAAACUGCUGGCAAAGACUGCUGAGGGACACUUUGAGGUUAUCCAGAGGUAUGCCAAGUAAGAAACGGAAGAGAAUUUUACAAGGAGGAGGCAGCAGGCACCUGCCAAAAUGAUAAUUACUCCCAGUGAGGUCUAAAGCACUGGAUGAUGGGGUGCUGUGAACUUAUCAUUAAAUGCAGCUGUGACCUCACUGAAUGUUUCCCUUUGUGUCUCACAAGAAAAGGGGACAGUCACAGCCUGCUUUCUAAAGACAACUCUCUUCCUUCACACAAAACUACAAGCAUCUAAUUACACACACACCCUUCACUCAAUUAUCAUGGAGACUCCUACACCAGCCUCAUAGAGUCACCAUCGGGGGAGGGGACAACAAAUGUCCCCAGGCUGUAUGUACCAGAUGAGGCCGUGUCAAUGCUCACCUUUGAGAAUGUCAUAUUUGAGGCGCCAGACGUGAGACAGCAACUCAUAGCCAAGGUUGCUGUCGUCUCCGCUAGCUGACUAUUAAAGAUGCAGAAUCCUUGCUGAACCAUCACUGGAACCAUGAAAACACCCCUGAAAACACCAUAACAACUGAAAGUAUUCGAGGUAAGAGAGAGCAAAACAUUUGGGAGUGCAGUUUAUUAUCUGUCUCCCAUACAAGACUGGUGGUGUAUCCCUCACAUCUGGUCAUCAAGGAGUACCCCAUGGUCAAGUCCUUGCACACCGAUCUGUUCUGAUGGAAGCAGUUGGAGGGUGUGGAGGAUGUGUUGGAGGAUGGAGUGCUGAGUAUGUUGCUGCAGUCAGUAGACAUGCUGGCUGCUGGCUGACGGAGUGUACUGUGGCCCCGUUGAUUUCACUCUCAGCAAUGACUCCAAGAAGACCAUAGCAGAGUACCAGGUGUGUAUUGUGAAGAGGUGAAUUGAAUGGCUGUAUUUUUCAUUCUUUCUUCUGUGGUAAAAGAAUGUCAAAAGCAAGCUCGUUCAUCGCUUUCUUGUCUUCCUGUAGUCAUUUUCAUUGCUUUUAUAUUCUUUCCACUAAUUCUUCUCUCUUCCUCUACUUCCUACAGUCACUUUCAUUUAAGUUUUCUAUUCAUUUCACUAAUUCUUUUCACUCUCUAUUUCUUAUAGCCACUUCCAUUACUCUUUCUUAUUCUCCUCUCUCCUUCCAUGUCUCACAGCCAUUUUCAUCGUCCUUUUCUAGUUCACUAAUUCUUCUCACUUCCUCUGCUUCAAGAUAACUGGACCACAGGAGCAUGUUGUCACAGCUCUAGGGAAACUGUGCACAUCCCUCAGCAGUAACAUAGCUAUCCCAGUAGUGACAGGAUAUUUGGACACUCACUACAAUGCAAGGAAAGUUUACGUCAAGGACCAGAUCUUGUGCUGCUCUUGGAGAAACAUUGUGCAUCUCUUGAACGAGAGUGAGACUGGGGACCCUCUUCUAGAUAAUCGGAAUGGUUCUGAAGUUAGCCUUGUGUCUUCUGUCCCUAAGGAUCCUCCAGUCCUUGCAUCUCCCCUUUGGCACCAUAUCUUGUGCUGCUCUCAGAAAAACGUGCUUCUCUGGAAUGAAACUGAGAGUGAAGAUAGUGUUUCAGGUGCUGGGAAUAGUACUGAACUUAGUCUCAUUUCUGGUGUCCCUGUGCAUCUCUCAGUCCUUAUAUUAAUGUGAUGUCUUGCUAACUCUCAUGCUGUCUCACUCAGUUUGGUACAAUUGUUUACUGCAAAUUUAGAGUUUAGUUUUCAAUGUAAGGUCACUGAUAGUAAAAGGAGUGGUUAAAUGCUUCUCUUUCUCAUCUUGUCUUCCUUUUCCUUGUCUUCUUCCUCAUUUACUUGCAUUUCUCUCAUUCUCUACCUCCUGGUCUUUUCCUUCAUCCUUCUCUCUCUCUCUCUCUCUCUCUCUCUCUCUCUCUCUCUCUCUCUCUCUCUCUCUCUCUCUCUCUCUCUCUCUCUCUCUCUCUCUCUCCAAUUCUCCUUACAGGCUUGUUGGUGUAUCCUGAAAAUUUGGAGAUCCAGGAGAACUCUGUCACCAAGAAUGUGCAAAUGAAUGUCAUUGGGUGGCUGAUGGCAGCUCCUCAAGUGAACCCAGAGGUGAGGGAGGCUGUCACUGGAGGGAGCGGGGAAGUAGGGGGUUAGAGUGAAGAUGUUUAGAAAAGAGGGAUGCAGCACUGUGGUUGUGAAGAGUAGCCAUCAUUUUCAUUUUAAGGGUGUUUUUAAGCUAUUUAGCUUGCAGUGCCACUGAGACUAUCCCUUUCCACUGGGGACUCAAAAUAAUAAUAAAGACUGACUUCAUAUUCUGAGUGUUAAUGGAAGUAAGAAUAAUAAUCAGAAAUAGCAACCAUUAUCACUAUCCUGUUUCUUCAUGUCAAGCUUGAUAAAGUUAGAUUUAAAAAAGAAAUAGGAAGGAACUGGUUCUCAGAUUGAGUGAUAGAUGAAUGAAAUAGACUCAGUAGUUCGGUUAGUGCUGAGUCAUUAGGGAGCUUUAAAAGAUUAGGCAAAUUUAUGCAUGAGGAUGAUAGUGAAAAUAGGUAAGCACAUUUCAUGCAGGGAUUGCCAUGUGUAAACCAGAUGGCUUCUUGCAGUUUCCCUUGUGUUCUUACAAUUAUUAUGCCACUGAUAUGAUGCCACAACACAAUGGUAAUGGUGGUGAUGGUGUGUUCCCGAGUGAUGCAGGUGAUAAUGGGGCUUGACAUGAGUGUCAAGGGCAUGUAGUGUCCCGUCACCUUUGCUCCUGUGACCUCUGGCUCUUCUAAAAAGGGAGUUGCAUCCUUCAUGGUAUUUUUAUGUCUGAUGGUGUGUAGUGGUAAGGAUUAUCCAAGAUUGGAGAAGUGUCUUGGGACCUUCCUCAUGAAAAAAUUUGUCAUAGGGAAAAGAAAAUACAGAAGCAGGCAGGGAGUUCCAGAGUUUACUGGUGAAAAGGAUGAAAAAUUAAUAAUGGUGAACUCUUGUAUUGGAGAGGUGGACCACCACCAUCACCACUACUUAUUCUCCACGGAUCACUGGGCUAAAGUACAGCAAGAUGGGUGCCUUGAGUUGAAGGCUGCAGUCACCAUCAGAAAAGAGCAAAGCUGCAACAAGUCAUCCAAGUACUAUGUCAAGAAGGUUUAUGUUGAAGGCAACCUCCUGCACUGCUCUCAGGAGAACAGUGGGACUCAUGACCGCCUCCAAGACCCACAGAGGAUUGGAAGGCAUAAAUUCAAUCUUGGAUAACUAUUGACAUUUAAAACUGGUGACUCCACUUGUCAGAUUGUAGGUGGGAAAGUUUUAGGGUUGAUUGAUGGGAACAUUGUUGAUCUAAAUUCUUUUUUGGUAAAGUACUGUAAAUCACUUGCAUGUGAAGUUUCAAAUGGAUGAAAUAGCAUGAAUGGUAUUGUAGUUGAAUUGUUCUUUGUAGCUGGAAAAAAAAAUUAGGGUCGAUUGAUGGGAAAACUAUUGUUCAAAAUCCUUUUAUUGUAAACUAGAUCAUGUACAUAGUUGUGAAAUUUUUUUGGAAAUGAAAUAGCAUGAAUGAUGAUGAUGUUGUUUGUGUUGUACUAUGGGUAAACCAUUGGAAAAAAUGUAGUAGUUAUGAACAAAAUUGGAUUAACUAAACAUCACUGAGGUUGUAGUUGUGAAAUUUUGGUGUAAAUUAAUGUAAACAAUGAAAUACUUAAUCAUUAAAGUUUUAAUCUUAUAUUAGGAGUCAUUGGAAAUUAGCUAAAAUAAACACCCUUAUAUCAUCUUAA
Molecule: long non-coding RNA, 3811 nt
Organism: Scylla paramamosain (green mud crab)
Lineage: Eukaryota; Metazoa; Arthropoda; Malacostraca; Decapoda; Portunidae
Exons: 4
Source: RefSeq, a predicted model, not a curated record